RNAcentral lists this long non-coding RNA (2988 nucleotides) under Heterocephalus glaber (naked mole-rat). RNAcentral describes it as "lncRNA (ENSHGLG00000032062.1)". Lineage: Eukaryota; Metazoa; Chordata; Mammalia; Rodentia; Bathyergidae. The record is from RNAcentral.
GUAGGAGUCGUGGUGCAGUCCCCAACAUGUGCAACUGUCCCCUAAGUAUUUGAUGGUGAUAUUUUUCCUUCAAUUUCUUUGUAUUGUUUUUUUAAAAGCCACAAGGUGGUUAGGAUGGGAAACAAUUUUAACUUGAGGUCAACGUUCACAUAACAUAAACCAAGUAUUUAGAAAUGUACAGUCCAUUUUGCGCAUUCACAACAGUGUACAUCUGUUAGGGUUUAGACCUGGGGUGUCCCCCAGUCCCCUGCGUUCAGAGGUGGGGCACUGUCCUCAUCAGGCGAUUCACCCCAGCCACAUCUGCCCUCCCACCAUCCAACCAGCCGGCCCCCCUUUGGCUGUUCUGAAUACUGCUGUAGGAACAGUGCCCUGCCAGUGUUGUUCGCAUACCUGUUUUCAAUGCUUUGCUUUUCAUUUUUUGAGACAGCGUCUCCCUAUGUGAGACUGCCCUCGAACUCAGCGAUCCUCCUGCCUCAGCCUCCCGAGUGCUGGGAUGACAGGCAUGUGCCCAGACCUCCUGGGCACUUUGGGGCACACUCCUCAGAGCAGAAUUACUGGGUGUAUGAGAAUUCCGGUGUUUUGCCUUUUGAGGGCUUUCUGUACCUGUGUUUUAAAGCAGUUUGGUCCCAAGGACUUAACCAAGGGGCCUCUGGGUCGCCCUCGGCUCCGUACCGGUACCAGGCCCCAACAGUGCGGCCCGCAGAGGGGGUCUAGGGCCGGGACGGCGGCCUCCCUUGCAGUGCAGCCCGCGCGCUGUGGGGGCGCUCAGGAGGCAGCCCACGCGGGGCCUCCGCUUAGGAGCAGGAAGGCAGGGGCUGCAGGAGCCUAUGGUGGAGGAGCUAGGCACCAUCGUCCAUCAAGGUUGUAACCGACGGACAUCAGGCCGAGGAGCAGAGAAGGGGCCGACCGCGGGGGAGAGCAGGAGGACAGAGCCUUCCAGGCAGACAGCGCGGCCUGUGCAAAGGCCCUGCUCCCUCUUGUGGAUGACCCGAGGGAGGAGCUGGAGGACCCAGAGCAGUGGAGACCGCAGCCGAGGCUAGAGUGGCCCCUGGAGGAGGGGCGCUCUCUCUGUCCGUCCCAGGGCUGGUUCUCCUGACUUCUCCUCGAACCCAUGGCGGGGGGGCGGGCAGGAGCUGCCAGCUCAGCGCUUCGGACUCGGGGCUCAGUCGUACAGACGUUGUGGGGGUGCUGGAAGGAAUCAGCUUGGGGGUGAAAAUCCCAGCCCAUCUCCCAGGCAGACACUGUUAGAUUGGGGGAUGGGGAGCUGCCGGGGCCUCUUGGGCUGACUGGGGGAGCCGAAGAGGUGCAGGGCGUCUGGAUGGGGGCUUUGGGGGCCCGGGCGAGGACGGCUCGGAGGGGAAGAGGGUGCGAGGAGGAGGAAGGGAACAUUACUGCACCCGCCUGCCAGACCCCGAGUCCCCCAGGCCUGCGGCGUCUCCGGUGCAGGUCAGGAGCUGCCGCCAGGCGCACCGUGGGGAAGGCGGCUGCAGACCGGGCCCGGCGGGGCGGCGCCCCGGGGAGCGUCUGUGUCAACGGAGCCCGUGCUGGAGGAAGAGCCCAGCUGGGGGGCCUGGCCCCCACGGGUGCCCAGCCCGGUGCCAUCGCUCUCCAAACCCCUCCUUCUCUGGAAUAAAGGCAGCCAGAACCCUGCUGCGAACUGCCACUCGCGGCAAAUUCCCAGGACCGACCUGCAAGUUGAGGCAGGCGCUGCUGCGCCAGAGCAGGGAGCCAGGAAGAAGGCUGGGGGAGCCAGGGUGCGAGGGGUGACCCCUGAGGCGCUGCCUCCUCCUGAGGCCCAGGGACAUGGCCGCCCGAGGGCUCCUAGAGGAACUGAGCUGCUGGGCUGCAGGGCCAGCGACGGCUCUGAGGACCCCAAGGAGGACAGAAGUAAAAGUGACUGCUCAGAACACCAGGCGCAGUCGAUGACCACACUGUGUCCGCUGCCUGGCACAUGCGCACACCCUGCAUUUCAGGGGAGCCCCACCCCUUCGAGGCCCCACCCCAAGCGAGAGGGCUGCGGUGCUGUCCCCUUGCUGCCCGAGGCCGCUUCCCUGCCUUCCCCCUGCCGCAGGACCCUUCGCCUGCCUUACUAGGUCCAGGCGUGGAGAAGGGAACCCUGGGGACCUGGGGUCGCCCACAGAUGAGCUCUCUGAGUGUCUGGCGUAGGAGAAACCCGGACUUCGGAGCUCCAGAAAAAGACGAGGUGCAGAAGAAACACGGCCUGCCUGCAGGGAGAGGCUGAAAUGUGGGUGACGCCCCAGUCCCCACUGUCUGUCGCCUGGCUCCCCUCCUCACCCCAGCUACACGGCCGGUCCGCAGCCUCUGAGCCUGACAGCUCGGGCCCAGUGGCCUUGCCCUCCUGGGCAUCUCUGGCUUUGCCUUGUGCCCAGGAUCCAGGACAUCUCAUCCUGACCACACUGGGCACACAGCUGCCUCUCAGGCUGCCCGAAUCUUCACCAUGACAGCCACCUCCCAAGCCCCAGUGCUCAGCUGGCACAAUGACCCACUUCCUAUUGUCCUUCGGACUGGCUCACUCCUAGUGGACCUGCAAUAUAUUUACUUUUUGGCACUACCAGGGACUGAAUCCAGGGCCUUCACACUGAGCUCCAUCCUUGGCCCUUUUUUAUUUUUUAUUUUCACACAGUGUCUCCCUAGAUCGCUAAGUUACCCAGGUUGGGCUCAAACUUUCGACCCUCAGCCUUCCAGAGUGCUGGGAUGACAAGUGCACUGCCACACCUGGCUGCAAACUUUACUUUUCUCUUGGAAAUGUCAAGAGAACUACUGUGAAUAACAGGCACUGUCCCGCAGCGCCAGGGGCCAGGGCCGCCUUCGGGAUUCCUCUGAGGGAUUGUAUUUCCCUUUUGUGGAUUAGCAGAGAGCCUCUCAGAACAGCCAGGCCCGAGCUACCUGCUCGCCCCGAACCGAGUCGCCGUGGCCUAGGAAGGACAACCGCCGCCCUCCACAUUUGAAGUGGACUUUGGAUUUGCU